Molecule: non-coding RNA, 21 nt
Filed under: Caenorhabditis elegans
Lineage: Eukaryota; Metazoa; Nematoda; Chromadorea; Rhabditida; Rhabditidae
Source: RNAcentral
UUCAGAAUUUGUCAAACGAAG